Long non-coding RNA from Drosophila simulans, 2227 nucleotides. RefSeq lists it as uncharacterized. The record is from RefSeq and is a predicted model, not a curated record. Lineage: Eukaryota; Metazoa; Arthropoda; Insecta; Diptera; Drosophilidae. The transcript has 2 exons.
AUGAUUUUGACAUGCUCCGGUAAUAAAAUUCAUAAGAAAUUUACGAUUUCGAUUUAGAAUCGCAAAAUCGUAAAAAUUGGGCACUUUCGUCUGGUCGGAAUGAAAAGUAAAUGCCAUAAGACCAUUCUGACACUUAGUUAUUUUAUAAAAAAUUUAUUUCUGACCCCACCUCAGAGUUGACAGGAAUUUUGCCGUCUCCAAGAAAAUUUUCGAUUUGGAAAGGGGCCGAUAAGUACGCCGCCAAAAGCUAUCGCGAAGGUUGCCGUACUGUUGGUGAAACGAGAAAGGCAAGUAAAAACACUUAUAAUAUAUACAAGAAUUUAUUCAUAAAUUUAAAGGAGGGUCAAAAGUGCUGAUCGUAAAUAAUGCUAUAUAAUUUAAUAACUUAAAUGGACAAAGUGCAGUAAAAAAUUAAUUACGAACAUUUUAAUUAAAGCUGUGAAAAAUGUGGCCGCUCUAUUGUUUGGAAAAACAGUUUAAACAGCUGUUUAUUGUUUACAAGACAUUCCGAUAGCAAACAUUUUGCGAAAAUCAAAGCACCUAAAAACGAAAUCAAAAGAUUUUACCCAAAUCGCAAUAGAACAAAAUUACGACUAGCGGAGUAUGCCUGAUAGAUAGAAAUUAACAAGACAAACAAUGAAAUAAAAGGACUCCAAAACAUUUUCGAAACUGUGGGCACGACAAUAUGUUCUGCGAGCGAAAAUAGAUUUAAUAUAAAAAUAAAAACAAGAAUGAGAGUCUAGUUCCUCGACUAUCCGAUACCAUAGCUGAGUAGUGGAAAUACGAUCGCGAAAUUUCAAAAUUUGUCUUAAUAUCUUAAUAUUGAUCAAUGAAAUGAGAAAAUUUAUUUUCAAAUAUUUGUUUAGAGUUUUUUGUAGGUGUAAGGACGGGCUUGUCUAAAGUGUUUUAGGUUCUAUUGAUUCUGACAAAAAAUAAAAGAACUGUUACCUGCCAGAGGAUGUUCGGAAUUAAAACAUACAAAGGUGCUUUGUUACAUCUGCCGGCGUUUUUCAACUCGUUCAAGCUGCGACGCAAAAGAAACCACGAAAAGGUGAGUGCGAUUAGGCGCAUGGUUUUUUUUUUUUAUAUAAAUGGCAUAAGUUCAUGUGUUAUUUCAGUGCUCUCUACCAACAGAUGAGAACAGGGUAGCAUCAAAAAGAUGCUUGCAGACGUGCAAAAUGAAAAGCGAGACCCGUUUAAACUAAAACGAACAAAGAUAGAAAUAAAAACCAGUUUUAAUGGGACUAAUGAUAAUAUAGUCGUUUCUCUCGCACGCAUCUACCAGCCACCUGAGGUAGAUUGAAUUCUAUAGGGCGAGCAAAAAGAGAGUUGCAAAGUAGCAACGCUUAACGACAAAAAUAACGGUCAAAGCUAUACAAACAAUGUCAUACAGCCUGCCUUAAAAAAAAAAAAAAAACGGCACAACCUAAGGCAUGAGUUUUGUUUUUCUAUUACUUUUUAAACUUUAACAUAUAACUACUUCAAAAUAAUAUCUACAUAUGUGUUCAUCGAGACGGCAAGAGGUAGUAUUUUUAGCAAUGAUAAUAUAGAUAUAAGUGUACAAAUUUAUACUGUUAAUUUUAAGCUUCGAGCUUUAAGCUAUCGAACGGGUGUAAAAGGCAAGACACGAAAUUUUAUGUCUGGUGAGGACCGAAGCAAAGCAACAGACGAGGUAGCAAAGACAGCUGAAAUAAAGCAGCACAAAAAAAGAGCGGCAACUUGAAUGCUGCACACGCAUACACGCACAUAGACUUUUGCGCAAUUGGGUUGUCGUCCGCAUACACUCAACGCAAUACUCCGCCGCUACACACACACACAAAUAAUUCAUGUUGCCGUUUGCCGGCCGGAGAAAGAGCGAGAAGGCACCAUGACGCCGCGCCAAAUUAAACGGCGUCGGUUUUUGCGCGCACACCGUUUUGCCUUUGGCGGGAACGAGACAACUACAUUAGUGCCGAGAAGCGUUUUGCGUAUAUAGACACAGAAUUCAAAAGAAAAUUUCCAAAUGUUUGCGGCAAAUAACAUAGAUUUUCAUUUGCAAAAUUCGCUACAAGUCCAUUGCUUAAACAAAAUCCAAAAACGUCCGAAAACAAGGCAAACAAAGUACUCACUUCUUUUGCUCAGCCACAUCAGCCAUUUUGAAUUACUGUUAGAUAUAACUUUUCAAAGGCAAAGCGAGAAAACACGUUGUAAUUGAGGGUUUUUGGAUCACCAAGCACGACUUGAAUAU